Molecule: ribosomal RNA, 449 nt
Filed under: uncultured organism
Description: partial 16S ribosomal RNA
Rfam family: Bacterial small subunit ribosomal RNA
Source: RNAcentral
ACUCCUACGGGAGGCAGCAGUGGGGAAUCUUGCGCAAUGGGCGAAAGCCUGACGCAGCCAUGCCGCGUGAAUGAUGAAGGUCUUAGGAUUGUAAAAUUCUUUCACCGGGGACGAUAAUGACGGUACCCGGAGAAGAAGCCCCGGCUAACUUCGUGCCAGCAGCCGCGGUAAUACGAAGGGGGCUAGCGUUGCUCGGAAUUACUGGGCGUAAAGGGAGCGUAGGCGGACAUUUAAGUCAGGGGUGAAAUCCCGGGGCUCAACCUCGGAAUUGCCUUUGAUACUGGGUGUCUUGAGUAUGAGAGAGGUGUGUGGAACUCCGAGUGUAGAGGUGAAAUUCGUAGAUAUUCGGAAGAACACCAGUGGCGAAGGCGACACACUGGCUCAUUACUGACGCUGGGGCUCGAAAGCGUGGGGAGCAAACAGGAUUAGAAACCCUAGUAGUCCCAUGA